Molecule: non-coding RNA, 804 nt
Filed under: Laemobothrion maximum
Lineage: Eukaryota; Metazoa; Arthropoda; Insecta; Psocodea; Laemobothriidae
Source: RNAcentral
CAUCCUAAUAUAAUAGGACUUAAAUUAUAAAUUACUAUGUUAUAAAAGCUUUAGUUUUUGGCUAAUUUUAGUUAUUUUAAUUAAAAAAUUUUAAUCAUUUAAAUAAAAAGACAAAAUUUAUUAGUCAUAAAUCUAAUAAUUGAAUGUAAUUAAAAUAAAGUCCAGGAAAAAUAUGUGCCAGCUUCAGCGGUAACACAUAUUAAGGGCAAAGCUACUUUAAAUCUUAUGGAAGCCUAAUUAAGACAAUUAAACAAAUAACUUAAAUUAUGGUCUAAUAAUAGAAUUUAAGUUAUAAGCUCCACAACUUAGACCGCAAUAACUUCAAAAUAAAAACUAGGAUUUGAUACCCUACUAUUUUGAAAAAAGAAUUAUAUCCAGAAGAUUAACAAAUAAAUUUAAAAUUAACAAACCCGGCUGUAUACUUCAAUAUUCAAAGAAAUUUGUCAAUUAAUUCGAUAAUCCCCGAAAAACUCUACUUAAGCUUGCAUUUUAUACAAACAUUCUCCAUACCGCCGUAUAGAUUUACAUUAAAAAAUAAUUAUCAAGGGUCUAACCACAUACCUCAGGUAAAGGUGUAGAUAAUGCUUAAGAUUAGAUGAAUUGCAUUUAUUAUUAUAUCAAUGGAUUUAGGUAUUCUUUAGGCUUAAAGAAAGGCUGAAAUCCCCCAAUAAAUUUGGAUUUGAAAGUAAUUAAUCUUUAUAAAAGUUUAAUGAAUUUUAAUAGGUAUAAGUACAUAUCGCCCGUCACUCCCUUAUAAAUAAGGGAUAAGUCGUAACAAAGUAAGUUUACUGGAAAGUGAACUUG